Long non-coding RNA from Lates calcarifer (barramundi perch), 3055 nucleotides. RefSeq lists it as uncharacterized. Lineage: Eukaryota; Metazoa; Chordata; Actinopteri; Centropomidae. The record is from RefSeq and is a predicted model, not a curated record. The transcript is spliced from 5 exons.
AGAAAAUCCUCUCAAACCUGGAUUGAUCAGCUGCUCAACCAACUGACCAGUUGACUAGUCUGUUCUUCAGUAAAGGUGUCAACACAAAGCUGAAGUCAUCCCUUUACAAAGAUGUAGGAAACUAAAGGACAGAUUGGGAAGCCGUGAUGGCGGCACAGAAGUUGAGGGAGAAGCUAUUUAUCCCAGACGGAUCAGGAGGUGUGUGACGGAGGUGUGGACGGUUGCUGCAGGUGCCUGUCCUGUGCAGAUUGCUGACUGGCUUCCAGGAGAUAACACAUCAGCUUCAACGCCCAUCCACAAACGCUGUCACCAUGGUGCCCACAGAUGGUAACUUCCUGUGGUCCUGCCCAGUGAUUGGUGGAGAGACUUCCAAACAGAGAACAGCUGGUGAGGGAUGAUAUAUCACCGAGCGUUUGCACUUUCAUUUUCAGGGUUGUCUUGUUAAUGCUCCCAAUCCAGCAUCUGGCAGGAAAUAGACACAAAGGCAGAGAGAGGGAGAGAACAACCUGUUCUUUGGCAGACCUUAACAAAAGGCUGACACAUGUCUGAUGAACAGACAGAACAGAUAGAGCUGCCUCGAAUAUGAAGGAAAGACGCUUGACGCAAGUAAAACAAACAGUAGAUAAGAGGAUGUGAACAUUUUCUACAAAGGUCAUUGUUAAGAGCAGAAAAUGAUAAAUACGCCUCUUAAGGUAAAAAAAAAGCAUUCAAAAAAGUUAUUGUAUGACUCCUUAUUAAUUAGGAAAUGCUAACAAUGUCCCAAAUGGCAUCAAUUUUUCAUAGUUUUGCUCAGCUCCAUUUACGAUUGAAUAUCUCCAUGAAAUAGUAAAAAUGAACACUCACAAGGGAAAAUACAUUUUUGUUAUUUUGUUGCAAUGCACUUGUGGCUUUCAGUUGUUAUGUUUAAGAUGUUCAAUUAUUAUGUUUCAUAUCUACUUUUUUGCAAACUGAUUUAGAAAUGAUAACCUCUUGUUUAACUGUUGGUGAUGAUUUGUGUAUUAUAUCUUGUGCUGUAGGUCCCAGUGUUUACAGGAAGGAGAACUCUAUACUUUCAACACCAGAGGGAGACAUUUCACAAACCAGCGGGCCACAAGACUUCUUCAUGGUAUGUUUGAAAUAUUUCAGAAUGUAAGUGUGAAUGAAUGAAGAGAGUAAAAUCACAAAAAACAACAACCUUUAAUACCUGGUGUCACAGUGUUAGUGGAACUGUAAGAUAUACUGAGAUGCUGAUUCUAAAGUUGUACAGAACUGAUCCAAAUAUGCCAUUUUACAAUGCUGAUUUCUUUGUAAUCACCCAGGGUCAAUUAACUUUCAAUUACUGAUUGAACUGGAGACUCAAAGCCUCUGUGUUUAGAAAUGGUAAACAAACAGCUUUUCUUUUGACAACAGUCCACUUACUGAGGUGACUGAUUGAAAUUUAAUUGACCAAUCAGGCCUAAAAGAUUCCGCUCUUCCAAAAGAUAAUACAACAUCUAUGAUGUAACACAGGCAUAUUAAAAAAAAUCAACAAAGAAGUAACAGACGAAUGAAGCCAACCUGCUGAAUGGAGGAAGGCUGAUCAAUAUUGUACAUAGCGUAUUUUCUAAAAAACAAAACAAAACAAAAACAAAAAAUUAAAACAAACAAACAAAAAAAAAAAACAGCUGGGCGAAAGGGUGACAACGCUACCAUUCCAAAGAUCUUUAGAGGCUACAAUAUAGUAAUAUUUAACAUGAAGAAGUCAGAGAAAAAUCAUGCAGCUUCAUCUCUUGACACAACAGGUUAUAAAAUAUAAAUUGCUGCUCGUAACCAAACUUUAUCUCAGGAUAUUUGCAAAGUAGAUCUCGAGCCUUUGUUAGAAACAUUACCAUACUUCCCAUUCAAGGGCCAAAUGUCAGAAGUAAGCCCUUAACUCAGUCGGACUGUUCUAUUCCAACACCUCUGCUGAUGUUAAGUGAUUUUAUAAACCUUUAUAUUUGAGCCCUGACAAACCUCUUCUGGCCCUAGAUAACAAAUAAUUAUGCAAUGUGCCACUGCAGUGAUUGUAAUGUUUGCUGUUUGGCCCUUUUAAUGUUUGUUGCAUAAUACAGUAUCUACCUGUUCAUUAGUGCCAGCAAACAAUAGGAGAAGAGUGUUGUGUAAAAAAAUGGAAGUGGCAAUGAUUUUAUUUGACUUUCAUCAGUUUGUGCCUGCUCAAGACUCAAGACUUUGAAAGUAAUUUUCAUCCUGAUGAUGUCAGACCCCUGAUAGAUUAAAUUGUGAAAACCCUUAAUAAGUACAGUUGCAAUCUGUCUAUAUGUAUUGACUUUUUAGUUUCCGUUCUCCAUUAAACACAGCAGGCACCAUUCCACACACGUCACAGAUCAUAUCAAGAAGUAAAACAAUGAAACCCAUAUACAGUGCAGCGCUUACAUAAAGAAGCAUUAAAAUAUUUUUCCACCCUGUAAAAACUGUUAAUACGUUACAAAUACAUGGUCAAAAUGCACAUACAGUAGACAGCUCUGCUUCCUUAUCCCUUCCAGGAAAUCUGCUUGGCACGAUUGUCAUGAAAACAACAACAAAAGCUUCUGGAAUUUGACUAGUUUAGGGUUCACGAACAAAAACUUCAUAAGUAGAAAAUUGGACUGGCUUUGAUAUCAAAUUAUCAUGCUCAUAAGGAGGUGAGGUCAGUGAAAGCAAUGCAGGCUACAGGUUAGGUACUCAAAAUUUAAGGCUACUAAUAACAAGGAUUAUUAUGCAGAAUAUCAGAGCUAAAUCUAUGAGAACAGACGGGAGCUGCAGAUGAUGAGCUACUGUUUAGCUUAGAUUAGCUACUGUUGUUAACUAUUGACCAAGUUUUUUGGUAACUGUAGCCACACUUCUCAUGAAAUGCUACAUGAACACUGGUGAAUUACACCAGAAGGAGGGACAAAGUAAAAUGGCUUAUUGAUAACGUUGGAAUGGCUUUGCAUGAUAGCAAGUAAUCUGUUUAUAACUAAAUUAUUUUAUCUUUUUUUUAUUUACUGACAAACAUGAAGUAACUUUUUGUGAAAUAGUUCUACUGUGUACAAAAAAAAUAAUAAAAAAAAUAAAUAAA